This 65-nucleotide transfer RNA is filed under the name Ixodes vespertilionis. RNAcentral describes it as "tRNA-Met". The record is from RNAcentral. Lineage: Eukaryota; Metazoa; Arthropoda; Arachnida; Ixodida; Ixodidae.
AUAAAGUAAGCUAAACAUUAAAGCUAGUGGGUUCAUACCCCAAAAAUGAAAUUAUUUCCUUUAUU